Molecule: ribosomal RNA, 483 nt
Filed under: uncultured bacterium
Lineage: Bacteria
Description: partial 16S ribosomal RNA
Rfam family: Bacterial small subunit ribosomal RNA
Source: RNAcentral
GAUGAACGCUGGCGGCGUGCUUAACACAUGCAAGUCGAACGGUGAGGCAGAGCUUGCCCUGUGGAUCAGUGGCGAACGGGUGAGUAAAACGUGAGCAAUCUGCCCCUGACUCUGGGAAAAGCGCUGGAAACGGCGUCUAAUACCGGAUAUGAGCUGCGGCCGCAUGGUCGGCAGCUGGAACGAUUUUUCGGUUAGGGAUGAGCUCGCGGCCUAUCAGCUUGUUGGUGGGGUAAUGGCUGACCAAGGCGUCGACGGGUGGCCGGCCUGAGAGGGUGACCAGCCACACUGGGACUGAGACACGGCCCAGACUGCUACGGGAGGCAGCAGUGGGGAAUAUUGCACAAUGGGCGGAAGCCUGAUGCAGCAACGCCGCGUGAGGGAUGACGGCCUUCGGGGUGUAAACCUCUUUUAGCAGGGAAGAAGCGAAAGUGACGGUACCUGCAGAAAAAGCGCCGGCUAACUACGUGCCAGCAGCCGCGGUAA